UGGAUCAUCUACCUCUUAGUGGGGAAUAACCCCUGGGAAACCGGGGAUAAUACCGCAUAAGUCCUUCGGGAGAAAGCAGCAAUGCGCUGAGAGAGGAGUCCGCGGCCGAUUAGCUAGUUGGCAGGGUAAAAGCCUACCAAGGCAUCGAUCGGUAGCCGGCCUGAGAGGGCACACGGCCACACUGGCACUGAAACACGGGCCAGACUCCGUACGGGAGGCAG
This 221-nucleotide ribosomal RNA is filed under the name uncultured bacterium. RNAcentral describes it as "partial 16S ribosomal RNA". It matches the Rfam family "Bacterial small subunit ribosomal RNA", at positions 118 to 351 of the family's 1533-position model. The record is from RNAcentral.